RNAcentral lists this ribosomal RNA (680 nucleotides) under uncultured Alphaproteobacteria bacterium. Its description in RNAcentral is "bacterial SSU rRNA". It matches the Rfam family "Bacterial small subunit ribosomal RNA", at positions 28 to 755 of the family's 1533-position model. Lineage: Bacteria; Pseudomonadati; Pseudomonadota; Alphaproteobacteria. The record is from RNAcentral.
AGCGAACGCUGNGCGGCAGGCCUAAUACAUGCAAGUCGAGCGCACCUUCGGGUGAGCGGCGGACGGGUGAGUAACGCGUGGGAACGUGCCCUUUGGUACGGGAUAACUGAGGGAAACUUCAGCUAAUACCGUAUGUGCCCUACGGGGGAAAGAUUUAUCGCCAUCGGAGCGGCCCGCGUUGGAUUAGGUAGUUGGUGGGGUAAAGGCCCACCAAGCCGACGAUCCAUAGCUGGUCUGAGAGGAUGAUCAGCCACACUGGGACUGAGACACGGCCCAGACUCCUACGGGAGGCAGCAGUAGGGAAUCUUGCGCAAUGGGCGAAAGCCUGACGCAGCCAUGCCGCGUGAAUGAUGAAGGUCUUAGGAUUGUAAAAUUCUUUCACCGGGGAAGAUAAUGACGGUACCCGGAGAAGAAGCCCCGGCUAACUUCGUGCCAGCAGCCGCGGUAAUACGAAGGGGGCUAGCGUUGCUCGGAAUUACUGGGCGUAAAGGGCGCGUAGGCGGAUGUUUAAGUCGGGGGUGAAAGCCCGGGGCUCAACCUCGGAAUUGCCUUCGAUACUGGACAUCUUGAGUACGGGAGAGGUGAGUGGAACUCCGAGUGUAGAGGUGAAAUUCGUAGAUAUUCGGAAGAACACCAGUGGCGAAGGCGACUCACUGGCCCGUUACUGACGCUGAGGCGCG